Molecule: unclassified non-coding RNA, 204 nt
Filed under: uncultured Entoloma
Lineage: Eukaryota; Fungi; Basidiomycota; Agaricomycetes; Agaricales; Entolomataceae
Description: partial internal transcribed spacer 2
Source: RNAcentral
AAUUCUCAACCUUUCUGGCUUUUACAAAGCUAGUCAGGCUUGGAUUGUGGGAGUUGCUGGCUUUCAAGUCGGCUCUUCUAAAAUGCAUUAGCAAGAUCGUUGCUGCUCAUCACUGGUAUGAUAAUUAUCUAUACCGUUGAGAGUCAGUUUCCUUUAUUGGAGGAUCAUGCUCCUAACCGUCUUCCCUAAGACAACAUUUGACCA